RNAcentral lists this ribosomal RNA (699 nucleotides) under uncultured bacterium. RNAcentral describes it as "bacterial SSU rRNA". It matches the Rfam family "Bacterial small subunit ribosomal RNA", at positions 25 to 763 of the family's 1533-position model. The record is from RNAcentral.
CAGGAUGAACGCUGGCGAGAUGCCUUACACAUGCAAGUCGUACGGGGAUUUUUAAUUCAAGUGGCGGACGGGUGAGUAACACGUAAGAAUUUGCCUUUAGGAGGGGGACAACAACUGGAAACGGUUGCUAAUACCCCAUAUGCUUUCGAGUGAAAUGGAUUUUUCCGCCUAAAGAGAAGCUUGCGGCUGAUUAGCUUGUUGGUGAGGUAAUGGCUCACCAAGGCGACGAUCAGUAUCUGGUUUGAGAGGAUGAUCAGACACACUGGAACUGAGACACGGUCCAGACUCCUACGGGAGGCAGCAGUGGGGAAUUUUCCGCAAUGGGCGAAAGCCUGACGGAGCAAUCUCGCGUGAGGGAUGACGGCCUAUGGGUUGUAAACCUCUUUUUUCAGGGAGGAACAAAAUGACGUGUACCUGAAGAAUAAGCAUCGGCUAACUCCGUGCCAGCAGCCGCGGUAAGACGGAGGAUGCAAGUGUUAUCCGGAAUCACUGGGCGUAAAGCGUCUGUAGGUGGUUUGAUAAGUCAACUGUUAAAUCUUGAAGCUCAACUUCAAAAUCGCAGUCGAAACUAUUAGACUAGAGUAUAGUAGGGGUAAAGGGAAUUUCCAGUGGAGCGGUGAAAUGCGUAGAUAUUGGAAAGAACACCGAUGGCGAAGGCACUUUACUGGGCUAUUACUGACACUCAGAGACGAAAGCUAG